RNAcentral lists this ribosomal RNA (305 nucleotides) under uncultured bacterium. Its description in RNAcentral is "bacterial SSU rRNA". It matches the Rfam family "Bacterial small subunit ribosomal RNA", at positions 333 to 630 of the family's 1533-position model. The record is from RNAcentral.
AAAGUCCUACGGGAGGCAGCAGAAGGGAAUCUUCCACAAUGGGCGAAAGCCUGAUGGAGCAACGCCGCGUGGGUGAAGAAGGUCUUCGGAUCGUAAAACCCUGUUGUUAGAGAAGAAAGUGCGUGAGAGUAACUGUUCACGUUUCGACGGUAUCUAACCAGAAAGCCACGGCUAACUACGUGCCAGCAGCCGCGGUAAUACGUAGGUGGCAAGCGUUAUCCGGAUUUAUUGGGCGUAAAGGGAACGCAGGCGGUCUUUUAAGUCUGCUGUGAAAGCUUUUGGCUUAACCGGAGUGUUGCAUUGGG